AGAGUUUGAUCCUGGCUCAGGAUGAACGCUGGCGGCGUGCCUAAUACAUGCAAGUCGAACGAAUCUUCUUCGGAAGAUGAGUGGCGAACGGGUGAGUAAUACAUAGGUAACCUGCCCCUGUGCGGGGGAUAACAGGAGGAAACUCCUGCUAAUACCGCAUAGCCAUGAGCACCGCAUGGAGCUCAUGCCAAAUAUCCUUCAGGGGAUAGCGCAGGGAUGGACCUAUGGCGCAUUAGCUAGUUGGCGGGGCAACGGCCCACCAAGGCAACGAUGCGUAGCCGGCCUGAGAGGGCGGACGGCCACAUUGGGACUGAGACACGGCCCAGACUCCUACGGGAGGCAGCAGUAGGGAAUUUUCGGCAAUGGGGGAAACCCUGACCGAGCAACGCCGCGUGAGCGAAGAAGGCCUUCGGGUCGUAAAGCUCUGUUGUAAAGGAAGAACGUCGCAUGCAGGAAAUGGUGUGCGAGUGACGGUACUUUACCAGAAAGCCACGGCUAACUACGUGCCAGCAGCCGCGGUAAUACGUAGGUGGCGAGCGUUAUCCGGAAUCAUUGGGCGUAAAGAGGGAGCAGGCGGCCGCAAGGGUCUGUGGUGAAAGACCGAAGCUAAACUUCGGUAAGCCAUGGAAACCGGGCGGCUAGAGUGCGGAAGAGGAUCGUGGAAUUCCAUGUGUAGCGGUGAAAUGCGUAGAUAUAUGGAGGAACACCAGUGGCGAAGGCGACGGUCUGGGCCGCAACUGACGCUCAUUCCCGAAAGCGUGGGGAGCAAAUAGGAUUAGAUACCCUAGUAGUCCACGCCGUAAACGAUGGUCACUAAGUGUCGGGGGUCAAACCCCGGUGCUGCAGUCAACGCAAUAAGUGACCCGCCUGAGUAGUACGUUCGCAAGAAUGA
This 892-nucleotide ribosomal RNA is filed under the name uncultured bacterium. RNAcentral's name for it is "bacterial SSU rRNA". It matches the Rfam family "Bacterial small subunit ribosomal RNA", at positions 8 to 897 of the family's 1533-position model. The record is from RNAcentral.